UACGAAGGGGGCUAGCGUUGCUCGGAAUUACUGGGCGUAAAGGGAGCGUAGGCGGACAUUUAAGUCAGGGGUGAAAUCCCAGAGCUCAACUCUGGAACUGCCUUUGAUACUGGGUGUCUUGAGUGUGAUAGAGGUAUGUGGAACUCCGAGUGUAGAGGUGAAAUUUGUAGAUAUUCGGAAGAACACCAGUGGCGAAGGCGACAUACUGGAUCAUUACUGACGCUGAGGCUCGAAAGCGUGGGGAGCAAACAGG
RNAcentral lists this ribosomal RNA (253 nucleotides) under uncultured bacterium. RNAcentral's name for it is "partial 16S ribosomal RNA". It matches the Rfam family "Bacterial small subunit ribosomal RNA", at positions 524 to 776 of the family's 1533-position model. The record is from RNAcentral.